Cygnus olor (mute swan) is the source of this 5320-nucleotide long non-coding RNA. RefSeq lists it as uncharacterized. The transcript is spliced from 4 exons. The record is from RefSeq and is a predicted model, not a curated record. NCBI's taxonomy places the organism in Eukaryota, Metazoa, Chordata, Aves, Anseriformes, Anatidae.
CCUACAGGGUUCAACUCUACUGAGUCCUACUGCUCACUUAGAGAAGUCAUGGAGGUGGCAUCUGAGGCCUGACUCUGUUGGUUGACUUGUACAGGAGCUUUGUCAUUGCCAUUGUUGGUCCCGACAUCAAUCCCAGUGUGAAAAACGAUCAACGCCCACGCUGGGGAUUUCAGACAUGAGUCACCCCUGCUGCUGGGCUCCUGCUGAAGGAAGGAGACUUUGCUCGUGUCUUGCCUCACAUGAAGCUCACCAUGGCCAGAGGAAAUGUCUUUACAGGAGACCUGUGGUGUCUGCAGUGGCUGACUUGUCUGGGGCAUCUCGUGGCUGUGCAUGCAACAAGGAGGAGUGUUGGAGGGGGUGAGCCCGCUCCACACAGUGUCGAUCCUCUGGUACAUGCAUACCGUGUAACGCAGGGGUUUGGUUUUGGUGUAACUGCCGCUCGAGGCAGUUUUUCUGCAGUGCAAUGAUAAUAGGACUGACUAAAACUGUAGCUAAAAUACCCAGCCCCAACGUUUUGCCAUCACAAAAUGUUGGGCUGCAGACAGCAGGCUUUCUGAAGCCUCUGCCUGGGCUGGGCUGCGCAGUUGUUCAUUUUCUGCAUUGAAAACCGGUGGUGAGAUAGGGAGUGGGGACAAUGUGAGCUGAAAUCCUGGACAAACGCAAAGCCCUGAGCCUUGAACCCUUGAAAAGUUUUCAUUAAAAAGUCAGUGACCUGUUAAAGGGACAUGUUUGGGUCUGGCACUGGGUACCAUUGGGUGGGUUUGGGUGUGCGGAUGCAGAUCCUUGAGUCCCAGCCCUGUCUUUUCAGAAGAUUUUAAAAAGGAAAUUGGGUUUCUCUCAGCAGUAGCAUCACUUGGAGUCUGAAACAGGCUGUGUGAGGCUCGUUUUGAUUCGCCCCAGCUGUUGGCAAUGGCUUGUUCCUUUUUGCUUCUCCUUCUGCAAGGCUUCCCCCAAAUGGGCAGUUAAUUAGAUGCACAUGGGGCAAGCAGACAGCUUUCACCAGUGCCAUCACCAGCCCUUGAAUACUUAAACCAUGCUGUGAGCCAGCAUGGGGUCUGCAUCCCUCCCUGGACCACCUCUGGGACUCAUUCAGGUGCUAUUUUGGUGAUGGGAGCAAGCCAAAACUCCAUCCCUAGGAUGCUCUGGCUUGCAGCUUCUCUCCAUGCUGAACAUUUCCAUUCCCCAUGCUUGGCCCUGCAGUGUGCCUCUUGUCUCAGCAGGCUGUGGUGGCAGCAGUCAUGGCAAUAGAGGAGUUUGACACCAAAGAAAUGACAGGUGAGGAAAGGAUGGCCAACUUGGAGAUGGAUCGGUGGUCACCUGAAGACUCUUCCAGCUACAGUUGAUGCAGCUGCAGUUUUGGAGGCUAUCUGAGGGCACAUGAGUCCACGUUUUGGGGAUGGGAACGGUGGGACAGUCCCAGGUACUGCUCUGUAGGUACCAAAGCUGGAGCAGUGCUUGGUCAGGGGGCCACAUGAAUGUCUGUGCUCUGCACCAGGAUCCAGCCCCGUGCCUCGAGACUCAGCAGCAGCAGCAGUGGGGUGAGCACCAGUACUUUCCCACUUGCUCUUCCCUCUUCCCUGGGGAAAGCCCUGUUAAUCAACUCUCACCACCACGUGGAAAUGGGGAAGGGAAAACCCGCUCCCCUCCUCUCCUGGCCGUGAUGGGAAAGAGAAGCAGCAUUUACUUUCCACUGCCUUGUAGCUGGGAGGAGGAGGAGAAAGGAGGAUGUGGAAAGGAAGAAAGGAGAAGCUCGUGGCAUGGGAGGUCCCUGCUGAUGACCACACUGGGAUCCACUAAAACCUGAAAUUGGCACACGAGCAGCAGUCUGCAGUGUGGCUCCCCUACUUGGAGAAGACUUGGUUAUUCAGUCAUACAGGGCAAACCAAGAAGGCAACCCAGAGAAAAAUCAGUCCCAUCUGUGGUGGUUGUCACGGGUGCUGCUGGGUGCUACUUAUAACAUUUAGUUCAGUGGCCGGAGAAGGCCACUUGAACCACUGCUUUGGGAAAAAAAUGGCAUGAAGUUGUUUAAAAAAUAAAUACAUAGAAGGGGAAGUCCUGCUUUUUUUUUUUUUCUCUCCAUAAUUCUACCAUUCUCAUUUUAUCAGGCACUGAGAUUUCCUCCACACCUGAGCUGAAUGAGAACUGAAUGUGGCUGUUAAAAAGACAGGGAAGGGGAGAGCAGGACAGAGAUGGAGAAAAACAAACAAGCAAGCCAGACAUUUGGGACUUAAUAAUUUCCAACGAUGGAGAGUGUACGGCAUCGCUGGGGAAGCUUCUCAGGAGGAUGUGGGACAUUUGUCUCCAGAGAAAGAAGGGACGUAGCCUGCUAUACCGUAGGGCGACGUUGUCCCCCAUGCACCAGUAACACCCCAACUCAGUCCGUGAUGAUUUACUUGCUCUUCCACCUCAAUGUUUACUUCACGGCGAGUACAAGGGCCAUAAUACCCUGGCACUGACACACAUGGUUUCCAGAGGCCACUUUCUCUUUGCUGGGAGAAUGCAAGGAACCAAACCCCAGAGGAUGUUUCCCAGGGCAGGACAGAGCACGCUUCCAUGGGGCUGCAGAGGGGAGUGACAAGGUGCCAAAAUCCCACUGUCAGACAGAGCUGAAUGGGAGCAGAGGGCCAUGAAUGCCCUGUUCGUGUCUGACAGCAUCUGAGGAAGCCUCCAUAAAGUGUAACCCUUAAUAUCCAUCAUCUUGGGAGCCAGAAAAAGCUGACAGAGGAGGCGGGAUGUGCAUGGGAGAUGGAGGAGAACAUCCCCCCUGGGGGCUGGAUGUGAGUGGAGGGAGGCAGGAGAUGUGAGCGUAGACACCUGUGCACAAGCCUGGGCACCACAGUGUUACUGCUCACUGGUGUAUACAAGCUUGUUUUAGGAUGCUUCCUCCCUUUACAUGUUUCUUUUCUGCUUAGAGGGGAAGUUCUCAGCCCAUCCAUGUAGUCAGAAAGCUUUGCGCAGCUCUCCUCAGUGCAGGACAAGGAUGCUUGAUGCCAGGAAACCUGUGUUCCCCAGGAUUCAUCUGUCCUCUUGGUUGUCCCAUUGCCCGGUAGCCCAUCUUUUCCGGCUGCUGUGUCACAAUAAACCAUGUCUGGAGCACAGCGAGCAGCAGCAUCUCAGCCGUGUUUCGCAGCCGCUGGAAAAGGCACUGCUGGGAAGAGCUGCCAGCGCCUGCGUUUGGAUGCUCCCAUAUCCCAGUACAGAGCAGGCGUCCCUCAAAGGCCAGAAGUGACCUGGAUCCAGUGCAACACGUCUCCCUGAAGGAUGCUGCUGCAAAGUGGUGCUUCGUGAUGCAGUUGCUUCUCAGUGACAGGAAGGAGAUAGGCGUGAUAUAAUGCACAAGCUGCUCUUCAUCACUGUGAGCAUCAAUGUGGGAGGCUUGCUCUGCUGCGGGUGGGUUUGCCCCACUCCUCUGCUGACCCCCGGUGCUGCAGCAUUGUCCCAAUGGCUCUGGCCAAAAGUCACCAGAAGCUCUCCUAGCCAAUGGUGCUGGUGGUGGUGAAGGAGGCGAUGACCCGAACUGUUAAGUGCAUUAUUUUUUGGAACAGUGGAUGAGAAAAUAUUUGAGGAGGAAGAAACUAGUGUAGGGAGAAGAACCUGUAUUUGUCACUGUAUCAGGGCUGGGCUAGCAGGCUGAUGUGAGCUAGGGCUGUUUCAAGCCAGACUCUUUUAAUGUGGCAAAGGGUCUUCUGUAAAUGUGGAAGGGCCACGUAGGCCUGCUUGGAUUUAAUAAUCACCUGAAAGGAAUCAAGAGCACCUUUGCGAGCACCUCCACAAGCACCCAAUGCUUUUGUGAGCCUAUGGUUUAUCCUUGCAAGCAUGCACAUGGUUCUGAGUGUGCCAAAAUUUCAGCUCAUGUGGUGUCACAGAACAUUUUCUGCUUCAUUUUUCAUAGUGUUUGUAUGAAUUCCCUGUUUUUACCCUCAGGUGUUACUCAGUUAGAGGGGUGGACUGGCAGAGGAUAUUCAUCGUGGACCUGGACUGCUGUUUUAGAGACCUUGUGACUUGUUUGUUCAUACUUCUACGAGCCCAUGUCCCAUGUAUAUCUUCUCUAUGAGAAACCUGACAUCAGAUCCUAGCAUUGCUCCUCCAUUUCCACAAGCAGUUUCAUGGUUUGCAUGUUCAAGGCUGUGUUCUGCCUUUCUGAGUCUAUCAAUAUUCUCUGCUGGAACAAUCCUCUAACUCUGAGCCGACCACGAGAUGCUGUGUUCAGCACAAUGGGGUUUGCGCUUCAAAACCUCUCCUGCUGCCUCUUGGUGCUGCGUUGCUUUGUGAAUCAGUGGCUCACUUCUAGCGAUGAGGUUUCCCAUUCAUAGUCAAGAUGAUGUUUCAGGCACUAAGCAUAGCUGCCUUCUGAAGUCUCUCCUGCUCUUGUACCCUUUGUGACUGCGCAGCUUGUGCAUCCUCCUGUUUCUGAGUUUACAGAUUCUUGCAAAAAGCUUUUACUUCUUUUAAAUGAAAUAGCUCUUUGAAGAGCCAGGCGCUGCUAGUGUGUGUAUUUCUUUCCAUGCUUUAGACCGUCUUUCACACCAUUUCCUGUAAGUUCACUCUUAGUGCUUCUUGCUGGCAUCUCCCUGAAUUCUCAGCCUGUAUCCCCUUUCUGUGCACUUUGCUUCAAAGUAGUUCUUCCUGUAUUCAAGAAAAGACCCUAAAAAAAAACGAACUAACCAACCAACAACAAAAAAACAACCUCUCACAGCAGUCAGUGCAUUCCCGGGAUGUUUUGGCUCCAGUUGCUGCUGCGUGAGGUUCCCUCUCGGCUGGUUGCCCUUCCUCCCCACCGCUGGUUGCAUGGCUGCUCUUUGCCCUGUCUCCACCUCUGAUAGGAAAUCAGCCUGCUCUGCUGGCCGAUAAGGGGAGCCCUAUGGCAGAGCUUCUAAUGAAGACAAAUCGUCAUUAUAAUAACAGGUUUACAGGUAAAGUGGGUAAUCUGAGAGGGAGAAACCUAUCUUACUCUAUAGAGUUGGUAGCACCAACUGGCUGCAUCUGUAGCUCUUGCAGGCAAGAAUAAUCUGGUCUCCUAAGGCUACAGGUGACACUGACUAUAACCCACCUAAGGGGAUCACACUUUAAAAUCAAUCUUCUCUCCCUUUCCACAGACACCAGCUCAUUUUCAGGUCAAUCCCUUUAUUUUUAAGUUGCUAUUAAGUCUACCGCACUGACGUGGCAUUUCAAAGUAAAUUUAGUAGCAGAGGUUGAACAAUACUCACAGAUUAAUAAUUUAUUACUGAUGACUAAAUUACUACAAUCUUCCUGCCCUUUCCAGGAACACCAGUCCAAUCCAGGUUCACACUUCAGUUUUUAAGUAACUAUUAAGGCUUCA